UGCAAGUCGAGCGGACAGAAGGGAGCUUGCUCCCGGAUGUUAGCGGCGGACGGGUGAGUAACACGUGGGUAACCUGCCUGUAAGACUGGGAUAACUCCGGGAAACCGGAGCUAAUACCGGAUAGUUCCUUGAACCGCAUGGUUCAAGGAUGAAAGACGGUUUCGGCUGUCACUUACAGAUGGACCCGCGGCGCAUUAGCUAGUUGGUGAGGUAACGGCUCACCAAGGCGACGAUGCGUAGCCGACCUGAGAGGGUGAUCGGCCACACUGGGACUGAGACACGGCCCAGACUCCUACGGGAGGCAGCAGUAGGGAAUCUUCCGCAAUGGACGAAAGUCUGACGGAGCAACGCCGCGUGAGUGAUGAAGGUUUUCGGAUCGUAAAGCUCUGUUGUUAGGGAAGAACAAGUGCAAGAGUAACUGCUUGCACCUUGACGGUACCUAACCAGAAAGCCACGGCUAACUACGUGCCAGCAGCCGCGGUAAUACGUAGGUGGCAAGCGUUGUCCGGAAUUAUUGGGCGUAAAGGGCUCGCAGGCGGUUUCUUAAGUCUGAUGUGAAAGCCCCCGGCUCAACCGGGGAGGGUCAUUGGAAACUGGGAAACUUGAGUGCAGAAGAGGAGAGUGGAAUUCCACGUGUAGCGGUGAAAUGCGUAGAGAUGUGGAGGAACACCAGUGGCGAAGGCGACUCUCUGGUCUGUAACUGACGCUGAGGAGCGAAAGCGUGGGGAGCGAACAGGAUUAGAUACCCUGGUAGUCCACGCCGUAAACGAUGAGUGCUAAGUGUUAGGGGGUUUCCGCCCCUUAGUGCUGCAGCUAACGCAUUAAGCACUCCGCCUGGGGAGUACGGUCGCAAGACUGAAACUCAAAGGAAUUGACGGGGGGCCCGCACAAGCGGUGGAGCAUGUGGGUUUAAUUCGAAGCAACGCGAAGAACCUUACCAGGUCUUUGACAUCCUCCUGACAACCCUAAAGAUAGGGCUUUCCCUUCCGGGGACAGAAUGACA
Molecule: ribosomal RNA, 1003 nt
Filed under: Bacillus altitudinis
Lineage: Bacteria; Bacillati; Bacillota; Bacilli; Caryophanales; Bacillaceae
Description: bacterial SSU rRNA
Rfam family: Bacterial small subunit ribosomal RNA
Source: RNAcentral